Tripterygium wilfordii is the source of this 1871-nucleotide long non-coding RNA. RefSeq lists it as uncharacterized. The record is from RefSeq and is a predicted model, not a curated record. Lineage: Eukaryota; Viridiplantae; Streptophyta; Magnoliopsida; Celastrales; Celastraceae. The transcript has 3 exons.
AUACCGUUCGUAGACCUCAAAUUUGAAAUUGAAAUUAUUUAAAGAAAAACACCGCCCUCCUAUCCACCCAAUCACAAAUCAAAAAAUCGAACGGAAGAAAUAGUUUCCUAAGAGCGUUGGUAUACCUCAAAUUUGAAAUUGAGUUUAUUUAAGGAAAAACACCCCACCCCACCCCACCCGAUCGCCAAAAUCAAAAAAAUUUCAAAAUCGCUUAAACGGCCUUUCUCCUUCCCCUUCAAUUUACUGUUAUAGACUUAUAGGUGAAUGUUUCCCUUCACUACUCUCCGAUGAUUCAAUGUCUAUCGUUUAAUCGAAUCCACGACGGUUACUGGCGGUGAGGAUUUUGUUUUCAAAUUGCAUAUUGUAGGUGAUUCUCGAUUUCUGUGUUUUGGAGUUUUAUUUUGGUUUUGUUGUAGUGCUUUUCUGGAAAUUUUUUCAUAAUAAAUGUUGACUGAAAAGUAGUGGAAAUUCUAUGGCAAGCUAAUCUGGUUCAGGCGUCUAAAGAAAUCCUAAUGAGCGGGCAGAUUUACUAGUCUUAUGCAAUUGAUUCGAAAUUGAUGGUUUAUGUUAAGCCGGCUUGAGGUUUUAUGGACUCUUAUCAGUUAUCACCCUGUGUUUUUAGAUAAAUCAUCCGCGAGAUGAGAUAGAAGGAUCUGAUUUGAGAAGUCAAAGAAGGAGAGGUAGAUGAGCGGAGCUCGACUGUGUGCAUUAUCGCGAGAAAUGGCGUAUGAACGGCCAGAGGCAUUUGAUCCGUUCGUAACAGUACGACGACGCGCGCCCCAUCCUUGAGUGGAUCUGCUCCAGCCUUCGUCCCUCAAGUAUCCUCUCUCUCUCUCCGAGCUCUCCCAGGAUGCUACGCAGGCAUAUAAAGCUGAAGCUUUAGAGCUGCAAAGAGAGCUCAUGCAUUUGCAGCCAAAAUUUUGACAUACUCACAGGCCAGGUCUCAGCUUUAAUCCAAGGGAGAAGGGCUCGAGUUGCUUUAACAUCCACUGAAUGGACACCUUACAACUAUUGAUGAUAGCAUUUCAGAAAAAAAUUGCAGGGUUCUUUCCGCUUAGUCACUGAGGAGGGCAAAUCUAAAUCUUCAUGGGUGAGUCUUGAUGACACUUCAAAUAUAAUUAUACAAGGUAUCCUUUGCUAUUGCUUCUAUAGGUUGGCCCUCUAUUCUUUUUCUUGCCAUAUGAUAAAGUUUGUCAAUAUGAAUACAUGAUUAUCUUUCUCUUGUUUUCCUUGUUUGCAUCCAAGUUUGAAUGAAGAUUUGCAUGUGUUUGGAGAGGCCGCCAUACUUUCUAGUUUCUAUUCUAGAGGUAAAAGCAUAGUUAGUGCUGAAAAUAAGCUAAAGAAUCCUUGGGAUAAGCCUGGAGUAAAUCUUGAUUUGCUUUGUUUACAUUUGUUGAUGAGCCAUGUCCAUGUUAUGGUUGAGCAUGGUAUAAGUGUAUAACAAAUAAAAAUAGUUCGAAUUAUACUCAAGUCUUGGGUGUCUUGGGUUUUUUUGCUGUCUAAAUAGCCUCAUCCUAUAUAUAGAAAUUCGUAAUGUAGCAGCACUGAGGGAAAUUUUAUGAGGUUCAAAUUUGUGCCAAUUUUUUGAUGUGGGAGAAACAUACACGGAGACUAGGCUGUUCAACUAGGGUUUAUUUAGCUCUCACUUUGAUUAUUUGAUUACCAUGCUUUUUUUUGAAUGACCGCAUGUCUUCUGAGCCAUGGCUGAAUGUGAUUUGAGCCUUUCUCAGCCACUUUACCGUCUUUCAAUCUUAUGGUGUUUAGCGUCACUACAAAUAUAUCCGUGAUGUAAUCCUACUUUUUAAUCGAGAUUGGAAAUUUUACCCCUAAAUUUACCCCUCGUUCUCGAGAGUGAGGAACUUUUGACAUGU